RNAcentral lists this ribosomal RNA (468 nucleotides) under uncultured bacterium. RNAcentral's name for it is "partial 16S ribosomal RNA". It matches the Rfam family "Bacterial small subunit ribosomal RNA", at positions 28 to 507 of the family's 1533-position model. The record is from RNAcentral.
GACGAACGCUGGCGGCGUGCUUAACACAUGCAAGUCGAACGGAAAGGCCCUGCUGUUGUGGGAUGCGCGGGUAGCGAACGGGUGAGUAACACGUGAGUAGCCUGCCCUUGACGUUGGGAUAACGUCAGGAAACUGUGGCUAAUACCGGAUAGUAGCUCCGGCUGCAUGGUGGGGGUUGGAAAGUUUCGGCGGUGGGGGAUGGACGCGCGGCUUAUCAGCUUGUUGGUGGGGUAGUGGCUUACCAAGGCUUGGACGGGUAGCCGGCCUGAGAGGGUGACCGGCAACAUUGGGACUGAGAUACGGCCCAGACUCCUCCGGGAGGCAGCAGUGGGGAAUAUUGCACAAUGGGCGGAAGCCUGAUGAAGCACCGCCGCGUGCGGGAUGACGGCCUUCGGGUUGUAACCCGUUUUAGCAUGUGACGAAGCGUGAGUGACGGUAAUGGGUAAAGAAGCACCGGCUAACUACGUG